Molecule: ribosomal RNA, 577 nt
Filed under: Naganishia adeliensis
Lineage: Eukaryota; Fungi; Basidiomycota; Tremellomycetes; Filobasidiales; Filobasidiaceae
Description: LSU rRNA
Rfam family: Eukaryotic large subunit ribosomal RNA
Source: RNAcentral
AGUGAAGCGGGAAGAGCUCAAAUUUGAAAUCUGGUAGCCUUCGGUUGCCCGAGUUGUAAUCUAGAGAAGUGUUUUCCGUGCCGGCCCAUGUACAAGUCCCUUGGAACAGGGCGUCAUAGAGGGUGAGAAUCCCGUCCUUGACAUGGACCCCCGGUGCUUUGUGAUACACUUUCAACGAGUCGAGUUGUUUGGGAAUGCAGCUCAAAAUGGGUGGUGAAUUCCAUCUAAAGCUAAAUAUUGGCGAGAGACCGAUAGCGAACAAGUACCGUGAGGGAAAGAUGAAAAGCACUUUGGAAAGAGAGUUAAACAGUACGUGAAAUUGUUGAAAGGGAAACGAUUGAAGUCAGUCAUGCUCUUAGGAUUCAGCCGUUCUGCGGUGUAUUUCCUUUGAGUGGGGUCAACAUCAGUUUUGAUCGAUGGAUAAAGGCACGAGGAAGGUAGCACUCUCGGGUGAACUUAUAGCCUCGCGUCAUAUACAUUGAUUGGGACUGAGGAACGCAGCAUGCCUUUAUGGCCGGGAUUCGUCCACGUACAUGCUUAGGAUGUUGACAUAAUGGCUUUAAACGACCCGUCUUGA